UGGGAGGGAGAGCUAAACCUUCAGAGAGGCAGACAUGCCUGGGAAACCAGAAGAGACUGCACUCUGCCCACAUUACUGAUUCCAGAGGAAAACACCAAACGCCAUCUGGAACCCUGGUGCACGGAAGCUCCCAGAAAGGGCGGCGCAGAUCUUCCUGGUUGCUGCCCCCACGGAGAGCUCAUAAGCAACACCCCACGAGCAAACUUGAGCCUCGGGACCACAGGUAAGACAAACCUUCCUACUCCAAGCGACCUGCCUAGUGAACUCAGGACACAGGCCCACAGGAACAGCUGAAGACCUGUAGAUAGGAAAAACUACAGUCCCGAAAGCAGAACACUCUGUUCCCAUCACUGGCUG
Molecule: long non-coding RNA, 357 nt
Filed under: Rattus norvegicus (Norway rat)
Lineage: Eukaryota; Metazoa; Chordata; Mammalia; Rodentia; Muridae
Description: long non-coding RNA NONRATT020364
Source: RNAcentral